RNAcentral lists this ribosomal RNA (195 nucleotides) under uncultured bacterium. Its description in RNAcentral is "partial 16S ribosomal RNA". It matches the Rfam family "Bacterial small subunit ribosomal RNA", at positions 328 to 530 of the family's 1533-position model. The record is from RNAcentral.
ACGCUCGACACCUACGGAGGCAGCAGUGGGGAAUAUUGCACAAUGGGGGAAACCCUGAUGCAGCGACGCCGCGUGAAGGAAGAAGUAUCUCGGUAUGUAAACUUCUAUCAGCAGGGAAGAAAAUGACGGUACCUGACUAAGAAGCCCCGGCUAACUACGUGCCAGCACGCCGUAGUAUCNGNGCGGNGNGACGAG